Molecule: long non-coding RNA, 1885 nt
Organism: Balaenoptera musculus (blue whale)
Lineage: Eukaryota; Metazoa; Chordata; Mammalia; Artiodactyla; Balaenopteridae
Exons: 3
Source: RefSeq, a predicted model, not a curated record
CUUGAACCCGCGUCCCCUGCAUUGGCAGGAGGAUUCUUAACCACUGCGCCACCAGGGAAGCCCCCUUCCUACUUGUUGAAUAGGAAGCUCUUUCUAGUCUGUCUUCUAACUAGUUUCACAAGGAACCAUAGAAGUACUUUUAAAGGUUUUUUUUAAUGUAACUCAUGAUGAAUGCAAAUUGUGAAAGUUCAGAUCUUUCUAAAUUGUAAAUUUAAAUGUCUACCAGAAUAGUAGUAAUGAUGGUGAAAUGUAGACUACUAUUCAAUAUCAAUUUUUUUCUAUAUAUCAUCUCCCUUUAUAUUCAAAGAUGACACUUCUGAGUUAGAAAAGACAAUCUGACUUCUUUUACCUUUUGCAGUUCAGCCAUUAACAAACCUCAAAACCUUUCAAUUUUCUGCCAGUUAAAUUUGAAAUUGGCCUGAAACCUUUGCUUAAAAUGAAUUACCCCUAUUUUAUUCAGGAUUUUUGCCUAUUGCAACUGAUUUUCCUUCGUCCACAGCUAUUUUACAUAAUGUUAUGUAAUUUUUUUUGCAUCCUUAACACUUUUCUUCCACCUUCCCUGCUUGUAGUUUGUGCUUUCUACAGUUUGGGGUUCCUUUGGAAUCCAUUCUCUGCAUCUGUUCAUACAUAGAUUUAUUUGCCACGGUCCAGGACCUUACUGCAAGUGGUUCUGUUCCCCAAUUUGCUGAUGUUCACAGAGGCAGGUAAGUGACAUAGCUGGGGCCACAUGUAAGCAGCGUCAGGUCAUAGAGUCAUAUAGGACCACUGCACUAACAACUUCUGAUAGGUUUGGAGCUUGAUAGCUGUAAGUGAAAAGGAGCUAGAAAUGUGGAAUUAAAUUCCCUGGAUCAGCAUCCAUUACAGGAAGGAAUGAGAUGUUUGAGUUGAUUCUUUUCUAUUUUCUCUUCCUAGAAAUAGUGUGUGUUUUUGGUCUUGCUUACUUUAAUAUUCCAGAAAAUUUUAUUCCUCUUUGAAAAUAAACAGGUGGAAUGCCCCUGAUGACAUUCACUCAGAAAGUGCCUUGCUCUCCUUUCAGGGAAAUUGAAUUUUACAAAUUAAUUCUGGACGUUUCCCCUACAAUUGAUUUCCUUCUGUACCAUUAAAUGACCAUUUGUAUUCUCCUCUUCUGGGUAUCAUAUUUGUACUUAAACCUACAUUGGUCACUGUUGAGUUGUGUUUGAGCAGUGUUUGUUAUGCUAAAAAGGACUUUGGGCUUGGGAGAACUCAUCCUGUGUCUAGAUUGACAUCUAGAACUCUAGGGAUUCCUGUUCCUCUGGGCUAUUGUUUACCUUUUCCAAUCAAAUACUUCUGAACUAAUCCCAAGGGCUUUUUCCUGACGUUGUGGACUGGGAGCAGAAAUGCUGCCUUAGUGAGAGAGGUCCAGGAAGCAGUAAGCUUCAUCUUUCCUCAGCCUGCCUGGCCUAUGGUGAGUUUGGGAGUGUUGACAGAGUUCUGAGCCUUCUUGGCAGAGAAGGAAGGUCAGAAAGAGAGAAGUCCAAGGGCAGGGGGCCAGGUCCUUAUUUGCCUCGUUAGGGAGAAUUCACUGUUGUCUGUCUGGUUGGCAGGACAUACCUAAUCACAGAGACCCAGCAUUUCAGCAGUUUGCAAAGGAAAGUGAUAUGAAGGGACAGCUGCAAAUCAGCCACAACAUAGAUCUGAGGAGAUCAAGCAUUUACUUCACUUGGAAGAAAGAAGGAAGGAAGCUGAGGGCUUAGCAGGGAUCCCCAGUGACGAGCUUCACUCACCCUUCUCUACCCUACUCCCUAAAGACAUUUUUUGUUUGCUGGUGAAUUUGAGAAAAUUAGAUGGGCCUCACUGGUCUGGAGAUGGUGAGAAGAUGACUGUGAUUUAGGAGACACAGGUUUGAGCCCUGGUUCCGGAAGAU